Molecule: transfer RNA, 76 nt
Filed under: Bdellovibrionales bacterium
Lineage: Bacteria; Pseudomonadati; Bdellovibrionota; Bdellovibrionia; Bdellovibrionales
Description: tRNA-Ala
Rfam family: tRNA
About the family: Transfer RNA (tRNA) molecules are approximately 80 nucleotides in length. Their secondary structure includes four short double-helical elements and three loops (D, anti-codon, and T loops).
Source: RNAcentral
GGGGCUGUAGCUCAGCUGGGAGAGCGCUGCCCUUGCAAGGCAGAGGUCACCGGUUCGAUCCCGGUCAGCUCCACCA